RNAcentral lists this ribosomal RNA (668 nucleotides) under uncultured bacterium. Its description in RNAcentral is "bacterial SSU rRNA". It matches the Rfam family "Bacterial small subunit ribosomal RNA", at positions 1 to 722 of the family's 1533-position model. The record is from RNAcentral.
UGAGUUUGAUCCUGGCUCAGAACGAACGCUGGCGGCAGGCCUAACACAUGCAAGUCGAACGCUGUAGCAAUACAGAGUGGCAGACGGGUGAGUAACGCGUGGGAACGUGCCUUUCGGUUCGGAAUAACUCAGGGAAACUUGAGCUAAUACCGGAUACGCCCUUCGGGGGAAAGAUUUAUUGCCGAAAGAUCGGCCCGCGUCCGAUUAGCUAGUUGGUGAGGUAACGGCCCACCAAGGCGACGAUCGGUAGCUGGUCUGAGAGGAUGAUCAGCCACACUGGGACUGAGACACGGCCCAGACUCCUACGGGAGGCAGCAGUGGGGAAUAUUGGACAAUGGGCGCAAGCCUGAUCCAGCCAUGCCGCGUGAGUGAUGAAGGCCCUAGGGUUGUAAAGCUCUUUCGCCUGGGACGAUAAUGACGGUACCUGGAUAAGAAGCCCCGGCUAACUUCGUGCCAGCAGCCGCGGUAAUACGAAGGGGGCUAGCGUUGUUCGGAAUCACUGGGCGUAAAGCGCACGUAGGCGGAUCUUUAAGUCAGGGGUGAAAUCCCGAGGCUCAACCUCGGAACUGCCUUUGAUACUGGGGGUCUAGAGUCCGGGAGAGGUGAGUGGAACUGCGAGUGUAGAGGUGAAAUUCGUAGAUAUUCGCAAGAACACCAGUGGCGAAGGC